UUUACUGCAUAAUACAAGAGGAGUUUUAUGUAAAGAUUGCCUCUACUGUUUUGUCUCAGAAUUAACCAGAAAUAUCCUUUUUCAAAAACUUUCUAAAAUCAUUAAGGAAAUGGCAAUUGUGAUAAGAAUAGGAAGAGGAAGAAUGAGAGACAAUUUUGGAGCAUAAGGUUACUGUGGAGGAGGCCAGAUCUUAAUGGGAUUUUAAAGCAGGGGACUUUGGCUAGCUAGAUGACAGUAUGGCAAGACUGACAGUAUGGUGGCACUGGGAGUCUGGUAAUUGAGGAAGGGAGUAUCAGGUCAUGAAAGAGGCAGUGGCACAGAAAAGUGUUUAGUAAGAAGCACCAUACAUAACCCUCACUGUUCAAUUUUGUUUCAGACUAGUCCUUACCUCCUGUGAAAACCCAGGGGCAAAGUGAAUCUGCCAUUUGACUCAUAUUCCUGUCAACUUCAGGGUGACUGCUACAGACACAGAGGGAUGUUCUUGGAUUGAUAAUUUUUGCCAGUCAUGAAAGUAAAUAUUUCCACAGGGAGCAGGGCUGAUAUUACUGGCUCAGCGCCUCAUGGUGAGUUACAGUUAUAAUGGGGACAGCAGGCUUCUAUAACUCUGUUUAAUAGAAAGCAGGGUACCAGCAGAGAUUUUCUAACUCUGCAUUUAAAAUCCCCCCAAUAGCUAUUAUUACUUCUUAAAACCAUUUGAGCAUUAGUGCCAAAUCAAGUGGAAUAGUUUCAUUUAAAUAAUUUAAGGGGCUGACUGAUAUUCUCACAUUGACCAUAAUAAAUAAUAUUAUUAAUUUCAAGAGAGAGAGAAGGAUCAGAAUAUUGUGAUUUUGGUUUUCUUUCAACUGAAAAGUAUUUUGAAAAGGAUUAAAGAAACAGAUUUUCCUCCUCUGAGUUUGACUCCCUGUGUAUCCCACCUCUGGUCCUUUCAUAGAAACACCCACCCAUUGUGUUUAGCCCCAUUUACCUGCCCCUGCAGGGAGGCGUCCUGUGGAGGGAAGUUUUAGUCUUCUGUGGAACAAGCUUAUUGAUCAGCAGGGUUUGCUCACUCAAGUGUAAGGACAUUCUGAUUCUUUUCCCUUGGGUUUUCUUUUCCUUCCUAAGAAAACUCUAUGAAGAAUUCUUUAACCCCUCUUAUUGUGUUUCCAGUCAAUCUUUCAUUUGAUAUGAUGUGAAAAAAAAAAUAAGCAAAAAAAAAAAAAAACACAUCUUAAGACUUAUCUCCAAGUAAAAAACUGUCUACCUACAGUAGCUACUCUCUUUGUUUACAUUAUCUGUAUUUUCUCUGUGUAUCAUCCCAGGUAGUCAUCAUAACUCCAUUUUUAAGACUGAAAUAUUGAGUAUCUUUUUAAUCGCUUCUGUGCUGCCAAUAAAUAUUUAAAUACCACUAUGUUUCUCAAUAUUCCGAUCAUAAAAAUUAUUUGAAAGUACACAUUUCUAAUUUUCUCCUUGAAAUUUGGAUUUAGGAUAUCUAGGGUAGGGCUUGGAAUCAGUAAUUGUAGUAUUUCCAGGUGAUUUAAGUAUUGGAAAUACUGAAUUAUCUCCUAAGUUUGACAAUUUAAAGACAAUUACAUCUCUUGAUGUUCCAAAAUGAAUAUCAGCAUUAGUUAUUUCAUUUCUUCUUCCUAGUAUUUUGGGCUUCACAUUUCCUGAAACUACUGCUGUCAUUUCCAUUGAAUCCUUUCAUUUUAGAACUGAAGUUGCCUCUGCUCAGCUCUAGUCUUCUUUGAGGUGAAAUUUGAGGGUCUUUGGUCACUUGUGAUAGACUAGAGGAGAGGAGAAAGAGCUAAAAGGAAAAUUACUAUGAUAUGGCUGAUCUAGCUCUAACGAUGAGGACCAACCAGGAAGUAACACGCUUUGAUAAAUGUGUAAUGAAAAAUUUACUUGCAGAGGAAACAAGGCUGGAGAUGGCUGGGAGCCAAGAACAUCUGUGUUCCUGGUAUCCCAAAUGUGUGGAAGUAGCAGAUGUAACUGAAUAUAUAAUAGAAACCCUGGCGCAAUUCCUAAUAAAGUGGAAGAGACCUCUGGAUAUUACAGAAAGCUUUCCAAAACCUCCCAAAAUGAAAAAUGCUGGGGAACUCCUAAGUAAUAUUAUUAACUAUCUUUAGGAGAGAUAUUAUUAAAGUGGCUCAAAACAAUGAAUAUGGCUUAUUUACAUAAGACAAAGGGAAGUUACCCACUGAACACAACUGAUAACACAACUCAGGAAAUAUAUUGUGUGUAAAUAUAAUAAUGAAAUUAUGUUUAGCAUACAUAUAGAAGGUGAAGUAUAAGAUACGUCACACAUCAUCUUUGCUUUAAUAGUUCUUCAUGCUUUUUAUAGGCUCAGCUAAUACUUCUAAGAAUGACUGGACUGAGGAGGAAUGAGAUAUUAAGAAAAUAGAAUAAAAUAUAAAGUGCAGACUAGGAAAAGACAGAAUAUAGCAGCUGCUGUUUUGCUUAGUCCAUUACAUAAAGAAAAUUUAUUUUAUUUAUUUUUUAUUUUUAACUUAAAAUUUUUUUAAUGUUUAUUUCUUUUUGAGAGACAGAGAGAGAGAGAGAGAGAGAGAGAGAGAGAGAGAAUAAACAGGGGAGGGACAGAGAGAGACAGAGACACAGAAUCCGAAGCAGACUCCAGGCUCUGAGCUGUCAGCACAGAGCCCAAUAUGGGACUUGAACUCACGACCUAUGAGAUCACGAUCUGAGUGCAUUCAGUCACUUAACCCACUGAGCCACCCAGGUGCCCUGAUAAAAUUUAUUUUAAAGCUCUUAUUAAAAGAGUAUCUGGGUAGGCCACAGUAGUUGGCACACUUUUAGUAUUAUAUAUGUGGUAAGAGUGGAUACACAACACCUUUUUCUUUACUACCUUUUAGCUAGGAUUGACUGUGUGACACAAUUCUGAUUAAUGAAAUGUAAAUGGAAUUAUGUUGGGUCAGUUUUUUUUUCUUGAUAAAAGUAGAUAGAUCUGGCUGGAAGGCCUCUUGAUCCUUCCUUCUUCCUGCUUACAAUGUGGACAUGAUGCUAAAGAUACAGCAGCCAUACUGUGAUUAUGAGGUGACAACCAUAAGGAUGAAAGUGGGCCAUGUAAACAAGACAAGGUGCAAGGACCUAUAUCAAUACCCCAAUGGCCACUGUGCCAACACCGGACUGCUAUCUCUAUAUUUUUGGUUAUGUGAGACAAAAAAACCCAAUUUGUUUUUGCUACACUUGGUUGGGAUUUCUUAUACUUGCUGCUCAACCCGUUCCUAAUGGAUGUGGUAGUUACAAAUUAUUAGGACUGUCAACAUUGUACAAAAUUUUAAAUUAAGUUGUCAGUAUCCUUAGCCUCACUUUUCUACAUAAUUUCCUCAGAAUCACUACUGGUCAGUGCUACCUGUCUUCAAUGAAUAAUCAAUUAUUUAGGUCUCAAGUAUCCUCAUCUGCUCUAUCCAUUAUAUUUUCUUAUUUAAAAAAUUUUUCUUUUAAUGUUUAAUUUUUGAGAGAGAGAGUGAGACAGAGCGUGAGCCAGAGAGAGGGAGACACAGAAUUGGAAGACACAGAAUUGGAAGCAGGCUCCAGGCUCUGAGCUAUCAGCACAGAGCCUGACGCGGGGCUUGAAACACAAACCGUGAGAACAUAACCUGAGACGAAGUUGGAUGCCCAACCAAAUGAGCCACCCAGGUGCCCCCCCCCCAUUAUAUUUUCUUAUUAAGAGUUACUAAAAUACGUUAUAUUUAAUUUAAUAUAUAUUUAUCAUUGAUAUAUAUACAUAUAUAUGUACAUAUAUGUACAUAUAUAUGUAUACACACACACACACACACACACACAUAUAUGGGUGGCUCAUAUCAGUUAAGCGUCUGACUUCAGCUCAGGCCAUGAUGUCACACUCUGUGAGUUCGAGCCCCAUGUAGGCCUCUGUGCUGACAGCUCAGAGCCUGGAGCCUGCUUCAGAUUCUGUGUCUCCCCCUCGCUCUGCCCCUCCCCUGCUCAUGAUCUGUCUCUCUCUGUCUCAAAAAUAAAGAAAAACAUUUAAAAAAUUUAAAAAAAAGGAAAAUGUGAUCUCAAUUUAAAACACCCUGCAUGUGCAUUAUAUGACAUGAAAACUUUGUCAAAAAUGGGAGUGUUAAUUGUGGAGUUUUGGACAUAAGCUAGAAAUGGGAGAAUUCCAGCAGUGAGUGGAGGGUGAGAAGGAAAAAGUCUUAAGUAACUUGUAUCACAUUCUGUUAAGACUAAUGCUGAAUAAAACUUCUUACCUGGUUUAGAUGGAUCAGCUAUAUUAAAUGUUUAUUUUAUGUGCCUUCCUUUGUCAUCAAUCCUAAAUUUCUUUUCUUGCCAUUAUAUUGGGACCCACAUCAAAUUUGUUUAAAAUGAUUAUUAUACUAUAAUAUUUCCUUCAUUCACAUGCUUAGAGAAGUCACCAAAUUCCCUAAAUAUAACUAGAUCAGAUUAUUGGUUGAACUUACAUGGUUACAAGUAUGACUGAGUAAAAGAAGAAAAGAAGGUGAGUGGAAAUUUUGUGGCCUGCCAUGCCACUGAAGGACAGUUCUGCAAAGCUGUUGGGGACUUCUUCAGACAAAGUUGGCUGUCAGAAGAAUCUCUCAAGUAAGAGGCUGUGUCAGUAUUUCCAUCAUGCUUAGUUACUGCUCUGAGCAGUCUAUGGAAAACAUUUGCCUCAGUACAAAUACAGUGAUGGAUUUCAGAACUCAGCAGCUGUGGUUCUUGGGUUAUUUAUACUCCUAUAGAUGGAAGUUGGAAAGUUACAUUUUCAUGGCUACCAAAAUAGGCUGUAAAAUAUCAACUUCUAGGGAAAAUCACUUAAGAAUUUUUUCUUAGAAUUUUGAAAAAAACAGUCUAAGGUAAUUAAUUACUACAGAAUAAUCUUUCUUUCAAAAUAAAUACUCAUAAUGGUAAACAAGACCUUUAAGAAAGUGAAAGAUCUUUCAGAUCAAUUGCUUUCUCCACAAUAUCUUCAUUUCAUUUUCUUCUUUUAAAAUCACUUCUGAUUUUAGGCAAAGCUACUUUCGAGAAGCUAGGAAAGAAGAAUAUCUCAAGUUGUGAUGAUUUACUCUAGAAAAAUAUGUAUAAUAUUUAUUAAACACUUAUUGAACAACUUCUAUAUAUAUUUGGUAUUUUUAUAUUUGAUAAGGAUAUAGCACUGAACAGAAAAAAACACAAAAUAUCUCUACUGUGGAGUUUAUGUUCCUUAUGUUGAUCAAAGAAUGGCUAGGUCAUUGUCAGAAUAGGCUAUGCAUGUAAUUUCCAAACUUCAGUGUGCAAUAGAAUCACCUGGAGGACAUGUUAAGACACAAAUUACUGAGCUCCAUUCCCAGAGUUUCUGAUCUAGUCAAUAAAUGUAGAAUAGAGCCAACUCAAACUACUGUCAAGGUCCCAGGAUAUGAAAAUGAAUGAAUGGAAUAUUUGGUGAACAUUACUUCUUCUGCCACAAGUAUGAAACGUAGAGAGGGAAGAAAAAAUUUGAAUAAUUAUUAAUAGGUAUAAAUAUAGGCAAAGCUACUUGGUCAAGCAAUUCAGAUAUCGUUAACAUCAACUCAAAUGAAGAUAUGGAAGACAUGUAUUUCAAUGUUGUGGAUAACAUAUAAUUAGGAAAAAUAAUUAAGAUUUUAAUUAACAUCUGAAAUCAUAUACCAAAACCAAAGGACAAAAAUCACUACAAGUCAUGCAUUCAUUUAAAAAAAAACAUCAAAUAUAGGAUUCAAAAUUUAUUCAUUUACUCAUUUAACAACUAAUUAUUAAUAACCAGUAUGUGCCAAAAAUGAAUUUGUGUCAGGGAUACAGUCAUUAUUUAUUUCCCCUCUGAAUUUACUGAGACAUUAUUGACAUACAGCAUAUAUAAAUGUAAGGUAUAAAAUAUGAUGAUUUGAUACACAUAUAUAUCAUGAAAUGAUUAUCACAAUAAGAUUAGUUAAUUCCAUUCCUUCACAUAAUUACAUGUUUUGUGUGUGUGUGUGGUGACAAAAUUCUUUUGCAGUAAAUUUAAGAUUUAUUCUCUUAACCAUUUCAAGUAUAUAAUAAAUACGGUAUUGUUAAUUAUAGUCACAUUAGGUGCCUAGACCAUAUUCAUAUGACAGCUAUAAGUUUACACUCUUGACCAAAGUUUCCCCUGUUUCCCCAUCCCCCCAACCACAGGCAACCCAAUUCUAUUCUCUAUAAGUUUGGCAUUUUAGUUUUCCAAUAUAAAUAAAAACAUACAGAGUUUGUCUUUCUCUGUCUGACUUAUUUCAUGUAGCAUGAUACACUCUAGGUUCAUCCAUCUUGUUGCAAAUGGCAAGAUCUCAUUCUCAUAGUCAAAUAGUGUUCCAUAAAGUGUUCUUUAUUAUCUAUAAAGAAAUACACACACACAC
Long non-coding RNA from Acinonyx jubatus (cheetah), 6317 nucleotides. RefSeq lists it as uncharacterized. The transcript is spliced from 3 exons. The record is from RefSeq and is a predicted model, not a curated record. Lineage: Eukaryota; Metazoa; Chordata; Mammalia; Carnivora; Felidae.